GCAAACGUGGGGUAGUGGUAACCUGAGUCGUUGCCACUCAUGGACAAUUUGCCAGGGAUACAGCGGUAAGUUCAAUAUUAAACACGUCGACCCGCUCUGAGUUCGAUUCUCGGCGUUUGCA
Molecule: non-coding RNA, 121 nt
Organism: Daedalea quercina L-15889
Lineage: Eukaryota; Fungi; Basidiomycota; Agaricomycetes; Polyporales; Fomitopsidaceae
Source: the annotation of a GenBank genome assembly